GUGAGGAAUAUUGGUCAAUGGACGGAAGUCUGAACCAGCCAUGCCGCGUGCAGGAAUAAGGUCCUAUGGAUUGUAAACUGCUUUUAUUCGGGAAUAAACCUCUUUACGUGUAGGGAGCUGAAGGUACCGAAGGAAUAAGCACCGGCUAACUCCGUGCCAGCAGCCGCGGUAAUACGGAGGGUGCAAGCGUUAUCCGGAAUCAUUGGGUUUAAAGGGUCCGCAGGCGGGCUAUCAAGUCAGAGGUGAAAUCCCACAGCUUAACUGUGGAACUGCCUUUGAAACUGAUGGUCUUGAAUUAAGUGGGCGUUGGCGGAAUAUGACAUGUAGCGGUGAAAUGCAUUGAUAUGUCAUGGAACACCGAAAGCGAAGGCAGCUAACGAUACUUAUAUUGACGCUCAUGGACGAAAGCGUGGGUAGCGAACAGGAUUAGAUACCCCGGUAGUCC
Molecule: ribosomal RNA, 445 nt
Filed under: uncultured bacterium
Lineage: Bacteria
Description: partial 16S ribosomal RNA
Rfam family: Bacterial small subunit ribosomal RNA
Source: RNAcentral